Malania oleifera is the source of this 106-nucleotide small nucleolar RNA. The record is from RefSeq and is a predicted model, not a curated record. Lineage: Eukaryota; Viridiplantae; Streptophyta; Magnoliopsida; Santalales; Ximeniaceae.
ACUUGAUGAUGUGGGCAUUUAUGUACUAGGUCCCUAAAAUGAUCCCAAGACUUGAAAAAUCGCUCACCAUCUAUCUGUGAAAAACUGGUGAUAGACUUCCUAAGCU